Long non-coding RNA from Notothenia coriiceps (black rockcod), 248 nucleotides. RefSeq lists it as uncharacterized. NCBI's taxonomy places the organism in Eukaryota, Metazoa, Chordata, Actinopteri, Perciformes, Nototheniidae. The transcript has 3 exons. The record is from RefSeq and is a predicted model, not a curated record.
GUAAAGUUUCACUGGAGCCUCCAUGCAAACUGUCAGCUGAAGAAAAACUGGGAAACCCUUUGGACGUUGCAGAAAUGGGGGCAGCAGAUUAAUAAACACAACGCUGGGGUGAGAACAAUAUCCAGUGGUCAGCAUUUGCACCAAGGACUCGACACGUCCGCCUUGAAAUCGAAGACAACACAGGGGAAUUACAAGACAAACGCAGGAGUCAAGGUAGAGCAUCAGUGACGAUAGUUGGAACCUGUAUA